RNAcentral lists this ribosomal RNA (497 nucleotides) under uncultured bacterium. RNAcentral describes it as "partial 16S ribosomal RNA". It matches the Rfam family "Bacterial small subunit ribosomal RNA", at positions 28 to 507 of the family's 1533-position model. The record is from RNAcentral.
GAUGAACGCUGGCGGCGUGCCUAAUACAUGCAAGUCGAGCGAACAGACGCGGAGCUUGCUGCUCUGACGUUAGCGGCGGACGGGUGAGUCACACGUGGAUAACCUCCCUAUAAGACUGGGAUAACUUCGGGAAACCGGCGCUAAUACCGGAUGAUAUCUUGAACCGCAUGGUUCAAUAGUGAAAGACGGUGUUGCUGUCUCUUCUAGAUGGAUCCGCGCGGCAUUAGCUGGUUGGUAAGGUAACGGCUUACCAAGGCAACGAGGCGUAUCCGACGGGAGAGAGGGAUAGGCCACCUGGGAAGGGAGACACGGUCAAGAGGCCUACGGGAGGGAGCAGUAGGGUACGGUCCGCAAUGGGCGGAAGCCUGACGGAGCAACGCCGCGUGAGUGAUGAAGGUCUUCGGAGCGUAAAACUCUGUUAUUAGGGAAGAACAGAUGUGGAAGGAACCGUGGACGGCGUGACGGUACUGAAUCAGAAAGCAACGGCUAACUACGUG